UAAGUAGAUUUUGAGAGUUAAUGUAUUUGUUUACUUUCUACAAAUAUUUUAUUAACGGUAGACUCGCAGGGUGCUGAACACGUAUUUUAGUGAAAGUUGAAAUUAAUUAUUUAAAAAAAGUUUUUAUAAUUUUUGUGCAACAAACGCAGAUCAAAUUAUGGGUCGAGGGUGUUAUUUGUCCCCAAGGAAAAAAUCAGAGAUUAAAACUCUUCUCCAGCACAUAAGCCAUUCGCAAAGGAACAUAGCAGAACUAGCUGGAGUUUCUAAAACAGAAGUGAAUAAAAUAAAGAUUAGUUUGGAUCAAAAUCAAUCACUUUCGCCAAAAAGAAAGGGCAAGAGUGGAAGAAAACGCAUAACAACAUCACGAUCUGACCGGAAAAUUCGGGACAUCUGCUUGCAAAACAGGAAGAAAAGUGCUGGGCUCUUAACUCAAUUAGUUCAAGAGUCUGGAGUAGUAGUAUCCAAAAGAACCGUGCAGCGAAGGUUAGCAGAAGAAGGGUUGACUGGUGAUCGUCCUGCUAAGGAAAACUCGGUUAACAGUUGCGAUGAAGAAAAAACGUCUUGCCUGGGCCCAAAAAUACCGCCAGAAGACUGAUGAGGACUGGAGUAAGGUAUGUUUUUCAGAGGAGUCAACCUUUGAAAUUCUGGCCGACAAGAGCAGCUUCGUCCAGGCGAAAAAUGUCACCCUGACUGCAUUGUGGAGAGGGUUAAACACCCUGUUAAAAUAAUGGUGUGGUCUGUCAUAAGUGCUAAAGGGGUUGGACGUCUCUACAUUGUCCAGGGUACCAUGAGACAAGACCAAUACAGACAAGUUCUGGAAACUCGACUGUUACCGCAACUUAAGGAUUGGUUCCCAGACGGUGAGGAAUUAAUUUUUAUGCAUGAUUCAGCGCCAUGUCAUAAAGCAAGAAGCAUAACCAAAUUUCUGGCAGACCAUAACAUUCCAGUUUUACCUUGGCCUGGCAAUUUACCUGACAUGAACCCCAUAGAAAAUUUAUGGCAGAUUACCAAGGCCGAAAUUGCCAAAGAGAUAAUAAUUACCGAGGUAAAAUUGAUUGAAAGUUAAUAAAUGUAUGGCACUACAACCCCAUGAUUAAAGAAAGUGCCUUAACGUGCAUAGAAAGUAUGCCCAGACGGAUUAAAGCACUCAUUGAGGCGAAAGGAAAUGUGACUAAAUACUGAUUAUUAAUCAGAAAUAUUUUAUCUCGCUCAUAUGUAUAUUUUUGAAAUAAUUAUUUUUAUUUUUUUGUUCUUAUGUUAGUUUGUAAAUUACUCUUUUAUUAUUAUUAAAGCUU
This is a long non-coding RNA of Bactrocera neohumeralis, 1295 nucleotides long. RefSeq lists it as uncharacterized. The record is from RefSeq and is a predicted model, not a curated record. The transcript is spliced from 3 exons. NCBI's taxonomy places the organism in Eukaryota, Metazoa, Arthropoda, Insecta, Diptera, Tephritidae.